UAUCAGCUUAAACUGACCAAUUGAAUCAAAUCCUCAGUUGUCUUGUCUCUCACAUUUUCCUUAUGCCUUGGUGGGCUCUCUCUCAACGUUCAACUCCUUCUUUGCUUGCCGAUCAGUGUGGAAUGAGGAGCAUAGCAACUUGCUAAAGCCAGCAUGCCAUUAAGGUCUCAGACUCUCACUGCUCAGCCUCUUCAGCUAUCCGCUCUCCUGUCGUCGGCCACUCGUUGCCCGACUCGGUUACUUGCACUUACAAGUCCUGCGUCUCAGCCUUUUCUAUUAAGAAGCAGCAGCUCCUGAUCGCUCUCACUUGGUCCCGCUCCCUCCUUGGACGGGGCCUUGACGUAUCUGUGACUGAUUGUACCACGUGCUGCUCCCCAAAGUCGUGCCCCGGAAUAUCCCAGCGGUUGAGGCACAGGAAAGGCAGCACGGGGUUCCGAGCAUGCGAUUUAAAUAUUGAGAUUUUGUGGGAUCUAAGUGAUGCCCGGUUCAACAAUGGUCCCAAGCCUGUUCGCGGGUUUUACGUCGUUGUUCUUGCCAGCUCUGAGGUCGCGCUAGUUCUCGGUGACAAAGAUGGGGAGCCGGAAGUAAAGAGGUUGAAGUCUGAAGUUCGUGAUGGGGCCAAAUUCUCUUUGAUCUCUCGAAUUAAGCGAGCAUUUUUCAGGCACUGAGGUGUAUUCAACUGAGGCACAGUUUAGAGACUUGGGGCCAGCUCAUGACAUCGUGAUCUGGUGUCGCCGAAGAGAGCGAGAUGGAGAUGGAGGAUGAGAGUAAUGAAAGGAGGAGGAAGUGCCCUGUCUUUGCUCUCUUUCUCGAUGCGAAGAGAGUGUUCAGGCCCUUCAGGGUGAGGAGACUGAUGUGGAACUUCCGGGGGAACCAAGCAAUAUUCGUGGACGGGGUGCUGAUGGACUUCUUAUGGGACAUCCACGACUGGUUCUUUGGUCCCGAAUAUGAAUAUGGUUUCGGUGUUUUCAUGUUGCGGACGAGGAGCGGCCUCGACAGUAGGCUCAGGUUGGGGGAGGAGAAGUUGAUGAGUUUCGAUCCCGAGAAGGGAGGAAGUCCUCCCGAUGAGGGGAUCGAAUUCUCCCUCCUAAUAUGUUCCGACAUGAAAACCAUAUGGUCUGAGGCCUUCAGAUUGUGAACGUCCCGGACUUAUUAUUCAAGAGCUCGAAAAAUCCGUUCCCUUUUUUUUUUUUCCCCAC
This is a non-coding RNA of Punica granatum (pomegranate), 1199 nucleotides long. The record is from RefSeq and is a predicted model, not a curated record. NCBI's taxonomy places the organism in Eukaryota, Viridiplantae, Streptophyta, Magnoliopsida, Myrtales, Lythraceae.